UGAGGAAUAUUGGUCAAUGGGCGAGAGCCUGAACCAGCCAAGUAGCGUGAGGGAUGACGGCCCUACGGGUUGUAAACCUCUUUUAUGCGGGGAUAAAGUGAGCCACGUGUGGUUCAUUGCAGGUACCGCGAGAAAAAGGACCGGCUAAUUCCGUGCCAGCAGCCGCGGUAAUACGGAAGGUCCUGGUGUUAUCCGGAUUUAUUGGGUUUAAAGGGAGCGUAGGCUGCGUGUCAAGCGUGUUGUGAAAUUCAGAGGCUCAACCUCUGGACUGCAGCGCGAACUGGCAAGCUUGAGUAGGCACGAGGAAGGCGGAAUUCGUGGUGUAGCGGUGAAAUGCUUAGAUAUCACGAAGAACUCCGAUUGCGAAGGCAGCUUUCCGGAGCCUUACUGACGCUGAAGC
RNAcentral lists this ribosomal RNA (400 nucleotides) under uncultured bacterium. Its description in RNAcentral is "bacterial SSU rRNA". It matches the Rfam family "Bacterial small subunit ribosomal RNA", at positions 355 to 752 of the family's 1533-position model. The record is from RNAcentral.